This is a non-coding RNA of Paramormyrops kingsleyae, 3828 nucleotides long. The record is from RefSeq and is a predicted model, not a curated record. NCBI's taxonomy places the organism in Eukaryota, Metazoa, Chordata, Actinopteri, Osteoglossiformes, Mormyridae.
GUUUCUUUGCUCUUUUAAAUGCAGCAGUUGUCAUCUUUUAAUUAGUUAAAGAGCGGUUGGUAAAGGUUUCUCCCAGGAACAAAGGCUGACGAACUGUUUUCACACCGUCGUCUGUCGUCGGAGAGACAGAAGACAUGUGGCUGCUUAGGGCGUCGUUCCUACGCACAAUGCGGCUUGUCACGUCCGGGCUGAAGACUGCCUUUCACUCCAGCCACGUUAAAUAACGUUUACAGAAAAAUCAACGCUUUUCCGCAAUUUUAUUGUCAGCUUUUUUUUUUCUUUCUGGCAUUCAUUUCUACGUCUGAUUUUACAUCUUUUACACGAGUUAAGUUUAUUAUUAUCAUUACUGGUUAUUCCCGCAGCGCUGCACUAAGUAUUUUAGAUGUCUUGGAUGACAGUUACGACAAACCGCUCACAUAAAGAAUACGUUGCCGCCAUUUUUAUUGCACGAGGAAUGGCGGGAAAGGAUUGCUUACCAAAAAAGCAGACGUUGACAUUCUAGUGGGCGACCAUGCAGAACGCGCCUUCCAGUCACCAGUGUGGUCCUGACCCAAACACGCCGAAGGAUUAGAAAAUGACGGAUUAGAAAGCAAGGAAAAACGGAAAACAGACAAAGACAACUGGAGCAGCAGCGGGAGGACGGGACAUGGGGGGAGGGUCAGUGAGAGGCAGGACUUGCAGUGGUGAAAUCAACAUUUUCUAUACAAAAGAGUCAAGUCCUGUAUGUUAUCUGGAUAAUAUUAAUGUAAGAGAGAAGGGGAAAAAACCUCUACACAGAGCUGCUGACCUGCAAAGAUAAUUUGCUGCAGCUGACUCGUUGGCACAGUCCCCCCGGUCCUUUCUGCCCGCCUCCACUCCUGUCUGGGCCGGCCGAUUGGCAGCCUGGCAGCAUCUGCGGCACCGGUGCCCGUGGCGAGCAGGUCCUCCGCGUCGGAUCCAGUGGCCGGCUUGACGGCAGACGGCAGUGGCGGCAGUAGAGGCUGGCGAUCUGGGCAGCCCAGUUGGCAAGCAGAGAGGAUGCCACCAUGGGAGACGUUGGCGCAUCUGGGCGUCGCCGGGCAGCCCCCCGUGCCGCAGCCGGCGCUCCUCUCCAUAAACGCGGGACCGUCGCAAGGAGAUCGGCGGCUGCGCUGAGCAUCCCCUGCCCCCAUCUUCGGGGCUCGCGCCACGUCUGCCAGCGAGCCGCAUUGGCAUGGCAGAGGCGAUCGCCGGCUGGCUGGCUGCCUGGCAGAGGCGAUCAUGCUCGAGAGAGAGAGGAAGCAAAAGGGGAGGCGCUUGUUCUUAGCCACCGCCCCCCAGCCCCCCUCCCAACGUGUUACUUGCCACCAUGCAACCAACCUCCCCAGGACUGAGCACCAGUCAAGUUUUCUGUCUGUUUUUUUGUGUUGAUAUUUACCCCCCUACCCCCGUUUGACUCCCCAGCAGUGCCCAUCUCCAUGACUUCCCCCUGGCAUCCGUUCUCCAUGACUGCCUCAGGUCUUCUGGGAGACAUGAAAAAACAGUCCAAGUGGUCAUUACCCACCCCCAGCGGCUUGCACCCCGUCCCGCAACCUGCUCCGAUGUUGCGCCCGUGCUGCCCUGCUCUUGCCCCAUAAUUCCACCGCCAGCACUUCCUGUGUCGACUUGGACGGUGGGCUCUCUGUCCUCCGCUCUUCGGGUGGUUCGCCUGCCACCUGCCCGCUCGUCCUGCCCUUCCUGGCACCACCCUCGCCCCGCGGAGUGCAUGGCAGUCCCGCCGGCAGCGUGUCCCGGUCGCACCGUAUGCCGUGAGGGAUCCCCGGCUGCUGGCUGGGCAUUUGUGCCACCGGAUCCUGCCUGCAGGAUGUUGCUGUGGCAUUUUGUUCCGAAUAAUCAAGAUUCGUUUCGCUGAUUCCCCGAGUUGGACCAUGUCGCUGUAAAGUCGCCCGGGCCUCUUCGGAUCAGCAUAUUUGAUGAGAUUUGAAGAGCCUCUAGAACAGCUGUCUCUCUGUCUGCAUCCACACACCUCUCACACACAGUGGCAACUGUUGAUGGCCGGAUUGGCAGCAGGGGGAUUGAGUCAGAGGUCUUUAAAAGUACACAGGAUGCUGAGUACACCUGAGCACAAGACGUACAUGGGUCUCUCAGGUCACCUCUGCUGAACGUGAAGGGCUGUUUCAGUAUCUGUGAGCUCUCUGCUGUAACUGAGUGCCUAAUGCAGCCUAUGACCAUCAUGAGUUCUGCAGAUUUCUUCCGCAUGGGCAACAAACUCGCCUGCUGUAAGAUCAGUAACACUGCAUCAUCACAGAAAUUCAUAGGAUAGCCAACAGAUGAGAAGAACCAAGUGAAGUAUCAGCUUUUCUUCAGGCACUUUCCUGUCGUGUGAAGUUCAUCUUCCCCAGGAGCCCGAGACUGGAUCACACGUCAUUAGAAAAAUGUCCUGCGUUGGAGUCUUCAGCAAGAGGAGUGAGAGAUGUUUCCGCUUUCAGCGAUAUUCAGGUGUAUUGACACAGGAGUAGUUGACACAAACCUUUUUCUCUCAUGACAUGACUGGAGAUGGGGGGGUGGGGGUCAGUGAAUGGCAAAUGUGAGAGUCGGAAGGGGAAGGAAUUUCACAACUUGCCAACCAUGAGGCUCUGGACUCUGCAGUAGAUUUUUCCCCCCCAGCAGCUGGCAAAGCCUAUAGGUGCAUUACGGUAUAUAUCCAAAGCUUCACACCCCUGGUGUAGUAAUGUUUUUGGUUUAUAUGCUGGUGCGUUGGCUUUACACAAGUAGCCGCUAAAUGCGGUGGCUACAUGCUAAAGCCCCAUCUACAUGCUAAAGUCCUACCAUCUUAACGGCUCUGUUGCAGGGCACACGACACAAUUCUCCCAUGAAUAAUCCUCGCCGGAUGAAUGGCGGACCGAAAAUGGCCGUAAUGGAUCCGCGCUUGAGAGUCGGGUGCGAAUGGCUUUUUUAAACGGGGGAGUUGGCUGGGCGGUCGCGGGACGUGCAUUAGAUAGCGCCGUGCGAUGGCGUCUGCUGAGCAGUCCUCCCAAUUUUCGGGUAAAUCCCCCAGAUGAUUGUUUCCUCAAGGGCACAUGUGUGCCGCACAUUCAUUAAUGGUCCACUAGAGGCUGCGCUUCAUUAUUUAAUUCUUUCCUCUGUUUUUCACCCACUGCUGCCAUUUGCAAAACCACAUGCUAUCUCGUCGGCUAAAUUUAGGCGAGCCUCAUAAAAGCAGGGUCUGCAUUUCUGUCGCAAAUAGCCUGUGUUUAAACCACGACGCAUUAUCCAAAUUGCACCGGAUUCAUUUCUAUUCCCAAUCCUACGCUGACCCAACAAACAGCUCCCCCUCGCAUCCACACACACGCCUGCCCACUCACACACACACAGUCAGCUUUGAUGUGGGUUAUCGGUAAGACCCGUCACCCCCCCAUCCCCCCCCUCCCUCGGCAUCAGCACCUUUUGAUGUAGCGUAUGUGCACUCCCAAAUAGAAUUUUUAAUAAGGAGUCAUUAUCAUUUUGAUUUCCUGCUGAAUGAAAAGAGUGACCUCUGGCAUUUAUCUGAAGCUGGGGGUGUGCAGGCAGAUAUGGCUUAUUGACAUUAAACCCACUGCUAUAACCAAGGCUGAGCUGGGGGGGGGGGUGUAACCAAGUGAAAAAUGUAUCAUGAGAAAAGGUCCUUGCUGAUGAAAAUCACUCCCAUCCCACUCUAGUGCGAGCCUGUUUUAUUUACCAUCCUUCUCUCAAUAGAUCGCAUAGCCAAUGCAGAGCCUUCAAACCCGGUCACCCACCCCCCACCAUUUCAGUCACAAUCUUCUUGAUUAGACCGACGUACAUUUUUAAAGUUUGCCAGUCAGGUCAGGGCGCUUGCUUGACAUUUUGCAC